CGAACCCGGAGAUAGCUGGUUCUCCCCGAAAUGUAUUUAGGUACAGCCUCAAUGAAGUCUUGGGGAGGUAGGGCACUGGAUGGGCUAGGGAGCGUGAGCUUACCAAACUCAACCAAACCACGAAUGCCCUAAGAUGAUCAUUGGGAGUGAGACUCCGGGGGAUAAGCUCCGGGGUCGAGAGGGAAACAGCCCAGAUCGCAGGCUAAGGUCCCCAAGUGUUGACUAAGUGUGAAAGGAAGUGAAGUUCCUAAAACAGCUAGGAGGUUGGCUUAGAGGCAGCCACCCUUUAAAGAGUGCGUAACAGCUCACUAGUCUAGGAAACUUGCGCCGAAAAUGUAACGGGGCUCAAGUCAACCACCGAAGCCGCGACUUUCUAGUUUUACUAGAAGGGGUAGGGGAGCGUUGCCAGCGCGUUGAAGUCGAGACGUGAGUCUCGGUGGAGUGCUGGGAAGUGAGAAUGCCGGCAUGAGUAGCGACAAUCCUGGUGAGAAUCCAGGACACCGAAAGCCUGAGGUUUCCUACGCAACGCUGAUCGACGUAGGGUAAGUCGGGCCUAAGCCGUAGCGUAAAAGCAAAGGCGAUGGACAACGGGUUAAAAUUCCCGUACCACCGGUACCUCGUUUUAAAACAAAGGGGGGACACGGAAAGGUAGACAGAGCGUGCCUAUCGGACAUGGUACGUUUGCUCUUGAAGGUCAAGCUAGGAUAGGCAAAUCCGUUCUAGCGUUAUGAACUGAGGGGAGUGAAAACCCUAGGGCUUAUGCCCUGAGGAAUUCUGUUGAUCCUAUGCCGUCGAGAAAAGCCUCGUUGUAAGAGGUGCUGGUGUCCGUACCGCAAACCGACACAGGUGGGCAGGGGUAAAUAUCCCUAGGUGAACGAGAUAACCCUCGUUAAGGAAUUCGACAAUCUAGCCCUGUAACUUUGGGAGAAAGGGUGCCCAUGGGGUGACCUCCACUAGCUGGAGAGAGCCUUUGUGGGCCGCAGUGAAGGGGUCCAGGCGACUGUUUAUCAAAAACACAGGUCUCUGCUAAGCCGAAAGGUGAUGUAUAGGGGCUGACGCCUGCCCAGUGCCGGAAGGUUAAGGGGAAGUGUUAGUUCAUUUUCGGAUGAACGAAGCACAGAACCGAAGCCCCGGUGAACGGCGGCCGUAACUAUAACGGUCCUAAGGUAGCGAAAUCCCUUGUCGGGUAAGUUCCGACCCGCACGAAUGGCGUAACGACCUGGACGUUGUCUCAACGAGGGGCUCGGUGAAAUUGCAAGGCCAGUGAAGAUGCUGGCUACCCGCGACAGGACAAAAAGACCCCGUGGAGCUUUACUGCAACUUGGCAGUGGACUGGGGUCACAAAUGUGUAGCAUAGGCGGGAGACUUUGAAACUUUGACGCCAGUCGAAGUGGAGUCGUCCUUGAAAUACCGCUCUUUUGUGUUCUCGGCCCUAACUCGUCAUAGACGAGGACCCUGCCUGGUGGGCAGUUUGACUGGGGCGGUCGCCUCCUAAAGAG
Molecule: ribosomal RNA, 1499 nt
Filed under: marine metagenome
Description: bacterial LSU rRNA
Rfam family: Bacterial large subunit ribosomal RNA
Source: RNAcentral